GUGCUGUUUGCUGCAAACACUUCGCCUGAUAUCAGCACAUUGCUGCGCUUAUGAGGCUUUAUGUCUGACUGAGAAGUUUUUAAAUCAGAACAAAACCAGAAGAUGCUUAAGUGAUGAUUUCAUUUCCUCUCCCCAGAAACAAACUUCACUUUUAAAGGGACAGUCAUGGGUGAAGCAUCACUCUACCAAAAGUAGGAACUGUGCUGUUUGUUUUAAGAAUGGUGCAAUCAUGACUUUUAGCAGAAUUUGGUUUACAAAUAUGCUUAUUUUUAACAUUAACUUUCUAUUAAAUAAUGUAAACAGCAGGGGCUGGAAAGUCCAGAAGACUAAGAAAGGGAUAUGAUGCCUGCUCUUCACCUAAGCCACCGGUUCAAAUCUGAUCCAGCUCAGGAAAAAGGAUGUGGUGAACACUGCGGACAGUCCAUUGAAGACCUCUGAAUGUUCAGCUAUGGUCAAAAAAGCAAACAAGAUAUUUGGAUGCAUAAAGAAUGGAACACACAGCUGUAUUUUGAACUUUUAGUAAUGGAGCAUGCCAGAAAAGGUUAUGAAAGAAGAAAAAAGGAGCAAGUUGCCAUAUCAGAUCUCUUUUCCCACUUUCCGUGUAUCACUACUAUACAUACUGUAUAUGGACUCCUAAGUGUAAAGCAACUAAUAUCGGUGAAUAAGUUUGUGUAUGACCCAGAUGAGUUCACCGCUGAGGUAUUGUUUACUGCUAGUUUCAACUGUCUGAAGAAGUAUUUCAUUUACAACACAUUUCUAAGUGGACAUUCUUUCAGAACCUUUUAAUGGUAGUUUAUUUGCAAAAUAAACAAUUCUUGUAUAUUUGUGUCUAUGUGUAUUCACAUUCUCAAGGCCUGAUACAAAGCCUAUUAAAGUCAAAGGGAAUCUUUUUACUGACUGUCACGGGUGUUGGCUCAAGCUCUGGUU
Long non-coding RNA from Mauremys reevesii (Reeves's turtle), 927 nucleotides. RefSeq lists it as uncharacterized. The transcript is spliced from 3 exons. Lineage: Eukaryota; Metazoa; Chordata; Testudines; Geoemydidae. The record is from RefSeq and is a predicted model, not a curated record.